CCUACGGGAGGCAGCAGUGAGGAAUAUUGGUCAAUGGACGAGAGUCUGAACCAGCCAAGUAGCGUGAAGGAUGACUGCCCUAUGGGUUGUAAACUUCUUUUAUAUGGGAAUAAAAUGUUCCACGUGUGGGAUUUUGUAUGUACCAUAUGAAUAAGGAUCGGCUAACUCAGUGCCAGCAGCCGAGGUAAUACGGAGGCUCCGAGCGUUAUCCGGAUUUAUUGGGUUUAAAGGGAGCGUAGGUGGAUUGUUAAGUCAGUUGUGAAAGUUUGCGGCUCAACCGUAAAAUUGCAGUUGAAACUGGGAGUCUUGAGUACAGUAGAGGUAGGCGGAAUUCGUGGUGUAGCGGUGAAAUGCUUAGAUAUCACGAAGAACUCCGAUUGCGAAGGCAGCUCACUGGACUGCAACUGACGCUGAGGCUCGAAAGUGUGGGUAUCAAACAGGAUUAGAUACCCCUGUAGUC
RNAcentral lists this ribosomal RNA (460 nucleotides) under uncultured bacterium. RNAcentral's name for it is "partial 16S ribosomal RNA". It matches the Rfam family "Bacterial small subunit ribosomal RNA", at positions 338 to 795 of the family's 1533-position model. The record is from RNAcentral.